Molecule: ribosomal RNA, 82 nt
Filed under: Astrothelium aenascens
Lineage: Eukaryota; Fungi; Ascomycota; Dothideomycetes; Trypetheliales; Trypetheliaceae
Description: partial 18S ribosomal RNA
Source: RNAcentral
UCCGUAGGUGAACCUGUAAGUUAAAUCCAAUACCUUUCUUUAUUCUGUAGUUACUAACAUUUUCUAGGCGGAGGGAUCAUUA